UGCGUAGGCGGUCGGGUAAGUCUGACGUGAAAUCUUCAAGCUCAACUUGGAAACUGCGUCGGAUACUAUUCGGCUAGAGGAAUGGAGGGGAGGACUGGAAUACUUGGUGUAGCAGUGAAAUGCGUAGAUAUCAAGUGGAACACCAGUGGCGAAGGCGAGUCUCUGGACAUUUCCUGACGCUGAGGCACGAAAGCCAGGGGAGCAAACG
Molecule: ribosomal RNA, 208 nt
Filed under: uncultured bacterium
Lineage: Bacteria
Description: partial 16S ribosomal RNA
Rfam family: Bacterial small subunit ribosomal RNA
Source: RNAcentral